GACGAACGCUGGCGGCGUGCCUAAUACAUGCAAGUCGAGCGCAGGAAACUGACGGAACUCUUCGGAGGGAAGGCAGUGGAAUGAGCGGCGGACGGGUGAGUAACACGUAAGGAACCUGCCUCAAGGAUUGGGAUAACUCCGAGAAAUCGGAGCUAAUACCGGAUAGUUCAACGGACCGCAUGGUCCGUUGAUGAAAGGCGCUCCGGCGUCACCUUGAGAUGGCCUUGCGGUGCAUUAGCUAGUUGGGGGGGUAACGGCCCACCAAGGCGACGAUGCAUAGCCGACCUGAGAGGGUGAUCGGCCACACUGGGACUGAGACACGGCCCAGACUCCUACGGGAGGCAGCAGUAGGGAAUCUUCCACAAUGGACGAAAGUCUGAUGGAGCAACGCCGCGUGAGUGAUGAAGGUUUUCGGAUCGUAAAACUCUGUUGUAAGGGAAGAACACGUACGAGAGGGAAUGCUCGUACCUUGACGGUACCUUACGAGAAAGCCACGGCUAACUACGUGCCAGCCGCCGCCGUAA
RNAcentral lists this ribosomal RNA (524 nucleotides) under uncultured bacterium. RNAcentral's name for it is "partial 16S ribosomal RNA". It matches the Rfam family "Bacterial small subunit ribosomal RNA", at positions 28 to 523 of the family's 1533-position model. The record is from RNAcentral.